GGUCCGCUGGCGUAAUGGCAGCGCGUCUGACUACGAUUCCUUCCCAGGAUCAAGUAAUCAGGAGGUUCCAGGUUCGACCCCUGGGCGGAUCG
Transfer RNA from Podospora anserina, 92 nucleotides. It matches the Rfam family "tRNA". From Rfam's summary of the family: Transfer RNA (tRNA) molecules are approximately 80 nucleotides in length. The record is from Rfam. Lineage: Eukaryota; Fungi; Ascomycota; Sordariomycetes; Sordariales; Podosporaceae.